GAUGAAGAACGCAGCGAAAUGCGAUAAGUAAUGUGAAUUGCAGAAUUCAGUGAAUCAUCGAGUCUUUGAACGCACAUUGCGCCCCCUGGUAUUCCGGGGGGCAUGCCUGUCCGAGCGUCAUUGCUGCCCUCAAGCACGGCUUGUGUGUUGGGCCCCCGUCCCCGGUUUCCCCCGGGGACGGGCCCGAAAGGCAGCGGCGGCACCGCGUCCGGUCCUCGAGCGUAUGGGGCUUUGUCACCCGCUCUGUAGGCCCGGCCGGCGCCAGCCGACACCCAACUUUAUUUCUAAGGUUGACCUCGGAUCAGGUAGGGAUACCCGCUGAACUUAAGCAUACAAUAAGCGGAGGA
This 347-nucleotide unclassified non-coding RNA is filed under the name soil metagenome. RNAcentral's name for it is "partial contains 5.8S ribosomal RNA, internal transcribed spacer 2, and large subunit ribosomal RNA". The stretch from base 1 to 120 matches the Rfam family "5.8S ribosomal RNA", at positions 35 to 154 of the family's 154-position model. The record is from RNAcentral.